Molecule: ribosomal RNA, 406 nt
Filed under: uncultured bacterium
Lineage: Bacteria
Description: partial 16S ribosomal RNA
Rfam family: Bacterial small subunit ribosomal RNA
Source: RNAcentral
AUUGAACGCUGGCGGCAGGCCUAACACAUGCAAGUCGAACGAGUGGCGGACGGGUGAGUAAUGUCUGGGAAACUGCCCGAUGGAGGGGGAUAACUACUGGAAACGGUAGCUAAUACCGCAUACCAUCGGAUGUGCCCAGAUGGGAUUAGCUAGUAGGUGGGGUAACGGCUCACCUAGGCGACGAUCCCUAGCCGGUCUGAGAGGAUGACCAGCCACACUGGAACUGAGACACGGUCCAGACUCCUACGGGAGGCAGCAGUUGGGAAUAUUGCACAAUGGGCGAAAGCCUGACGGAGCCAUGCCGCGUGGAUGAAGAAGGUCUUCGGGUUGGAAAGCUCUUUUAGUCGGGAAGCGUUACUCGCAGAAGAAGCACCGGCUAACUCCGUGCCAGCAGCCGCGGUAAUAC